AAGAGUUGUAUCCACCAUUACAUUCAUUCCUUAAUUACUACACUAUUAUUUUUUUCUACUAAGAACAAUGACACAAAUAAACAACAUUUAAACCUCCACCGAAUCAAAACAACAACAAAAUGCAGCAGCCACCGCUUUCCACUGAAAUCACCUCCCCGGAAAACGCAGCAACCACUACCACCACUUCUCCAG
Molecule: non-coding RNA, 192 nt
Organism: Vicia faba (fava bean)
Lineage: Eukaryota; Viridiplantae; Streptophyta; Magnoliopsida; Fabales; Fabaceae
Source: the annotation of a GenBank genome assembly